UAUGUUUUAGUAUAUGAUGUACAGAAGUUUUUGAUACUUAAAGAAGCAGUUUAAUUCUGCUAAAUAUAA
RNAcentral lists this transfer RNA (69 nucleotides) under Gyrohypnus fracticornis. Its description in RNAcentral is "tRNA-Gln". The record is from RNAcentral. Lineage: Eukaryota; Metazoa; Arthropoda; Insecta; Coleoptera; Staphylinidae.